UGUAAAAAGCGUUUGCCUAUAUAAGCAAACACUUGGGCAAACACUUUUUACAUUGCACAGUUACAAAAUUACGUAUUGUGUUUUAUGAUAAUUAUUUAAUUCAGUAUUAAUAUAGACACACAACAAUCACGAUGGACUUGAUGCUUCAGGCUGGGCUCUUUUUUCUCGCUGUCCACAGCGUUGCUGGCUCCCAUCAACCAGUGAAAGUCGGACCCGGACAGGACGCCAUUCUGCCAUGCCACCUGGAGCCCCCAUUCCACGUGACCACUCAGAUGGUGGAGUGGAAACGUUAUGGGCAACAAGUUCACUUAUAUCGAAGUAAGGCUGACAGUCUGGAUGAUCAGGACGAGAACUUCAGAAACAGAACAUCUCUCUUCCAAGAUGAAAUGGACAAAGGAAACAUCUCCCUAAAACUGACCAACGUAACUGAAGUGGAUGCUGGAAAUUACACCUGCCAUGUUCGUUUUAAAAAUGAAUACGGCUUAUUUGAAGUCAGAAUAUACAACGUUACCCUCAUUGUUGAUGGUGGUACCAGGACUGACCCUACCAACACUUUGUCCGGACGGGGACGUCACCGGCAGAGACACAGCCACAGCCGUCAUCGUCGUCAUCAUCAUCAUCAUCAUCGUCAUCGCCGCAAGUUUUACAUAUCUUCUUAAAUUCACCUUUUAAUUGCAUUAGCAUAUAACCUGAUACACUCUAAAAACUACUUAGAUAUAACUUAAGAAAAUUAAGACAACAUUGUCCAACCACUUUUUGUAAGUUUAGCGAACAUCUUGUUUUUCUAAGUUGGUAAAACUCAGUAAUAAACAUUUUGGAAUAUGCUAAAUUAUUAAGUAAAGUCUACAAAAUAAAUAAAUAAAAUUAAGUUCAACCAUUGUUAAUAUAGAGAGCAUGUUAACCACAAACACCUAAUUAAAUUAAGUUACAUUUAAAAUAAAAAGUUUAUUUAAAUCAAAUCAUGUACUUAUUUUUUUAUGUUGUCAAAUUAUUUUUUUCUGUUUUUUAAAGUACAAUUUACUUCAAAUAAUUAGUUAGCAUUGACAUACAUUUACCAAAGAAAAGAGGUAUUUAAUUCCAGCAUUUAUUAAACAGCUAUUAAAUCCAGUCAUGGCAAAACUAAAUGGAAAUAAAUUAUGUGAUAUGAAUGUGUAGUUGAGUACCUCCACAGUACAGCAACCUUCCUGUGUACAACUCGUAAUCUUGAAGGGACACAUUUGACCAUUUUAAACAUCACGGCUUAACAGUGAAUGCAUCAUUUGACAUCAUGGAUUUAAAUUGGCACAUGCAUUCCUUUAAAACUUACUAGUUUACAUACUAGAACAUGUGACCUCAGCUUUCCAACUGCAGCUUGGUACAAUGUCUUCAGUGUCUUUCAGUGAGUACAUCGGUUAAAUAAUUUCGAAAUAACAGAAAAAUGUUCAUGAAAAGAAAUGAUCACGGUUCAAGUUAGUUUUGGACCCAGUGCAGAGUCCCACAAAGUGCUUGAAAGGCCUUCAUGUACAACUCAAGAAUACGCUCAUCAGGCCCAGAAAAAUUUAACAUCCUUGAAGAGAAAAAACUAAACAGUCUUCAGUCCAAGGCCAACAAUCAUGUUUCACUGCAAGAAGCAUGUUUUUGAGGCUUAUGAACUUGGAAGUUUGUUUUGGGCGCAGUGCAUCAAGUACACAAACAGCAUGCUCUGGCCAGAUUGCAGAGAUUUAAGCACUGGGUCUCUCUCUCUCUCUCGCUCCACUGCAUCUGGUUCAUGGCAACCAUAGAUCCUCAGUGCAUUUUCAGGUCCUCGUGCACACUGCUCUCUGCAGUUCCCUGUAUGACAGACAAUCAGAAUACCAAAAUUAAGAAACGGUUAUUUAUUGUCAUUUAAAUCAAUAUUAAAAUGUUAUGGUCAUAUACCAUAACGAUAGCCAAUCAUUUUUGCUUUGACUUUUAUUUUGCAUAGACUUACAGAUUGUUAAAUGUGCGUGCAAGGAUCACCUGAUGCACAUAUGAGGUUACAUACAUACAUGUUCAUCAGUUAGCAACACUUUAUUUAAAAUUACAAACAUUUAUAGGCUACUGAUUGAAAAGCCAGUAUGCCCUUUUUUCCAGCAGUAAUGAUGGAAGAGGGUCCUAGAGUUAAUAAGUGAAUAAUGAAAAAAAUAGCAAUGCCACUCCAAACCUCAUCAUCACUGCUGUCUGAAUAUUGUUUUUAUACACUACCAUUAAAAGGUUUUAGGAAUCCCCCGUUUUUUUAUUUUGUGUUAUAAUUUAAGUACUUGAAGUGUAGGUCACCAAAACUGAAAGAUAAAUGUAAUCAAAAUGUUCAGGUAUCAAGUAACCUAUAAGAAGUAAAUUAAGCUUUAAUGCAAACUGACUUCCAAAACUGUCUGUUUAAGACAGUGUAUGUAUUUAGGACAUAGGAUAAUUUAUUUGGGAAUGGACUGGUAGUGUAGCUUUUUUUUAACCUUCAAAUUUGUUACGAGCUGUAAACCAGUUGUAACUUUUUAUAAAACACUUGCCAUGUCCAUCCAAAUGGAGAAAGAAAACAAAACAACAAACUUGUUUAAUGCAUGUGUUCCUAAAACUUAAAACUUAUUUUAACCACUUUUGGAUUACAUAAUUUCUCAUAAUAACAGUUUGACACAAAAACAUGUAUUGCAAAAACCUUUAAAAGAUGUAUGUUACUCUGAUUGCUUACCUAAUAUGUAUCUGAAUGAGACAGAGCUUUGUGGGGGUAGCUGCUGUGCUCUCUGGAGUAGAUUUGAUGGUCUCCUUGAGAAACAAAAAUCAAAGGUGAAUAUAACCAUAUGGAAAUAUUAUACAAGAAAUGUACAUUUGAGUUUGCACAGUAAACCAGAGUUACGUAUCCACUCUGUUAGAAUUUUUUAUUUACCAAACCUGUUAUGACUUAAAGAAAAAUGUUCUAGUUCUGUUAUAACGUGUUCUUGUAAUGUUACAAGAACAAGCUUAUAUGAUUUCAUAAAUGCUAUGACAAAACUUUGCACAACAUACAAUCUGUUUGCUGAUGCUGAAAGCCAAAAAAACUAUCUUUACGAAACAGAAAAACAUGCAUUGCCUGCGUUUUUUCUCUAAAUGGACAUUCUUUCAGUUAAAGUUCUGUUCUAUGCCACAGGUUACUCCCACUAACGUUACCAUGCAGGCUAUCUGGAUAAUACGUGUCAAGAAGCACAUGCAGCAACAUGACUUGCAACAGUUUGUUCAAAGCUAGUAAUUAACAUCCUUUAAUUUUCUCUUUAUGGCUGCUUAGCUUGAGGCGAGUUGUUUGAGACUAGAUUAAAACUGACCGUUACUCCGCCAUCUUAAGUCCAGACAUUCAGACAUUGCGGCCACAAGAGGAAUGGUCGAUUUAUUGAAAUGUUCUACUAAAAAGGGGAUACCAUUUGAUGUUAAUAAAAAAAAAAAAAACACAAAGUAGAAACCACAUUUGACUAACAUAGACUGUAAGGUUAACGUUAGCUAAUGUUUGAUCUUAACGUUAGUGCACAUUUGGAAGAGCCUCGUGGCAUCCUCACAAUUGGUAAUGUUAAUGUUAGACAAACAUAUGAUAGAGGAAACCAAGUGCUAUUUUAGCAUGAGAUAGAGAAAAGUAGACAUUUAAUUUUGAGUAUAAUCUUUCACAGAUAAAAAUUGUUACAUAUAUAUGUUUUGAGAAGUAAUGUCCUCCGCAAGCUCUGCAAAAAAACGUGGACAGCAGCAGGGUCAUGUACAUUUUAAAAUAAAGUCAUAUGGACAGUUCCACUGAAGGACUUUUUAGAGUGUACUAAUGUGUUUCUUAUCCAAAUGUUUAGAACAAACUCAGCUUUCUGAGGGCCAGGCCGUGUUACGUAGCACACCAGGAAGUAACACGGCCACGUUGCUUGCCCAUUUUAUUUGUUGAUUGGCACAAAAACCAGGAAUGGCUGCUACCUGCACAAGCAGCAUUUCUAUGAAAUAAUUUGCUCUGGCUUUUAAAGUCUCAUAAUUAUGCACAUGAACAGUACGAGUCCAGAUACUGACCAAAGGUGCCUGUUUAGGAACUAGAAAUGUGAACGGACCUAUUUUUUGAAUGUAUUUUUUUACUGAAAUGUAUUUAUAUUGUCCGAAUGAACAUUAUUUUGUAUUUGUACUGUCUGAGGAAUGAAACAGCGUAAAGCCGAAGGACGUGUGAAGUUGAAUUUUUUUGUAGAUAUUGCUCCUGUGGUGUAAAAUUGUGAUGUACAGUAAAUAUUAAAUACAGGUAACAUUUUUGUCCUUUU
Perca fluviatilis (European perch) is the source of this 4238-nucleotide long non-coding RNA. RefSeq lists it as uncharacterized. The record is from RefSeq and is a predicted model, not a curated record. The transcript is spliced from 2 exons. Lineage: Eukaryota; Metazoa; Chordata; Actinopteri; Perciformes; Percidae.